AAGGAUUUGAAGCUCUAGUUUGGUCUUCUUUGGUACGUGUUCCUCUAAUCUUACUAGCGACGCAUUGGUUCUGGGGAUUAACAACAGUAGUAUAAUCCAUGGUUAAUUGGAUCUGUGUUGCAUGAUGGUAUUAGUGGUUACCAGCCUUGCGAACUGAUGUGAGGAUGAGCAAAUAGUUGAACCUUCUAGCUAGCUUCUCGUUGUAUUAUGGUUCGCUGGAUUUCUAGUGCCAGGGAUAACUUUAGUCGGCGUUUCAAUUAGACUAGUACGAAUACUAGUGCUCCAUGAAUUGGGAUUGGGCAGAUUGCAUCCGGACAAGAACUAAUCAACUCGUGAGACAAUGGCUAGCUAACUGAUGGCUUGUUUCAUGCCUACUGUUUAUACCUUGUUCAUUGGAAUCAAGUUUCUUAUGGUACAGGGAUGAAAUAAACGACUACAGGGACACAUAGUUUUACUUUGUAGAGUCUAUCGGUUCGGUGCUCUGUGCUAGUAUACUAGCAAAGAAGGUGUUAAAUAGUCGCCUACUAGCAGAGAAGGUGUUAAAUUAAAACUGAAUUUUGUAACUGAUUGCUGCUGAGGAGAAUUGCUGCCGACGAGUAAUUUGUUAACUGCAGUCUAGAUAAAAUAGCUCUGGGACAAUGUUAACCGGUUAGAGGAGAUACAUUGAGUUUUAAAUAUAUAUCCAUGUACUAUCUUGUACAAUAUUCUGAGUGUGGAUUAAUAUACAGGUUUGACAACUUUGUGUUUGAAGGGUGCUUUUUGAGACAACCUUCAGUAUCGAGGCAAGUUCAUGACCGACCUCUUUCAUUGUAUGCAUGGUUGUCUUGUUGCUUGUGCUUCAGUGUACUUUGUUCUUCGCAUUUGGUGUUUGAACUUGAUACUUCCAGUUUCAGUCAAUCUAUAUGCAAUUUGAUAGUUAUUAUUACUAUAUAGUUUAACAAUGUUCUCUAUCAUGCAGCUGUUGAUACCUCACGGUCUGAUAAGCUCAUAGUAUCUCUUCCGGUAGUGGUGUAGCUUGAGGAAGCAAUGCCUUAGGGACACAGGGCAAGAGGAAGUACGCAAAAUUCCGUAGCCUGCUCGGAUUUGAGGAUGAUGUGUGAGCUCCAUGCGUGAGCCUUUUAUCCUGUACUGUGUCCAAAGCUAUGUGUGAGAUUUAUUUGUGAGACCUAAGCUAUGUGUGAGAAUGUUGCAAUGUCUGAGACCUUAGUUCUUGAAUUAUGC
RNAcentral lists this long non-coding RNA (1221 nucleotides) under Triticum aestivum (bread wheat). RNAcentral's name for it is "long non-coding RNA (TAES_LNC010902)". The record is from RNAcentral. Lineage: Eukaryota; Viridiplantae; Streptophyta; Magnoliopsida; Poales; Poaceae.